GACGAACGCUGGCGGCGUGCCUAACACAUGCAAGUCGAGCGAGUGAAUCUCCUUCGGGAGUGAAGCUAGCGGCGGACGGGUGAGUAACACGUGGGCAACCUGCCUCAUAGAGGGGAAUAGCCUUUCGAAAGGAAGAUUAAUACCGCAUAAGAUUGUAGCUUCGCAUGAAGUAGCAAUUAAAAGAGCAAUCCGCUAUUAGACAGGCCCGCGGGGCAUUAGCUAGUUGGUGCGGUAACGGCUCGCCAAGGCGACGAUGCGUAGCCGACCUGAGAGGGUGAUCGGCCACAUUGGGACUGAGACACGGCCCAGACUCCUACGGGAGGCAGCAGUGGGGAAUAUUGCACAAUGGGGGAAACCCUGAUGCAGCAACGCCGCGUGAGUGAUGACGGCCUUCGGGUUGUAAAGCUCUGUCUUCAGGGACGAUAAUGACGGUACCUGAGGAGGAAGCCACGGCUAACUACGUGCCAGCAGCCGCGGUAA
This 480-nucleotide ribosomal RNA is filed under the name uncultured bacterium. RNAcentral's name for it is "partial 16S ribosomal RNA". It matches the Rfam family "Bacterial small subunit ribosomal RNA", at positions 28 to 523 of the family's 1533-position model. The record is from RNAcentral.